GGCUCGCCUCCGAUUUCGCUGAUCGGCGUACUACGUGAGUGAUGUGUUUUUUAUUAAAUAAUUUGUAUAAAUAUUUAAAAAUUGUUAGAAGGCGAUGUGAUGAUGUGGAUCUGAUCCGUAAGCUUGUAAUAUCUUAAUCAAUAGGAUUGUAUAAUUAGAUCAAUACUUUAUCCGAAUUAUUAAUGUAAUGGAAUGCAUAUGUGGCAUUUUUCUAUUAGGAGUUGGAUAAAUAAUUGAUUAAGCUGGGGUCGAAGUGAUUUAAUUGGCGCUUUUGGUUUAACUUUAGAAAAUUGAUAUUUUAUCAAAUUUUCAAUUACAUAUUUAUUAAUUUUUAUUAAAAAUUAAUUUUUAAUAAAAUUGAACACGGUCUAGAUGCCAUCAUAUUUCUGAAAAAUAAAUUUUUUGAAGAAUACGUAACGCUAUAAGUGCUUUGCAUCAAUUCUUGCACUACCUAAAUUGAUAUUAAACACUUGAGUCCAUAUAGCAGUAUGGGCUUGUACUAGGGUCUGUUUGGUAGAAAUUUUGAGAAUUGAUUUUUUGAUCGUUAAGAAAAAAGUGGGGAUUAUUUGUGAUAGAAGAAGUCAAAAAUUAUAGUUGGAAUAAUGAAAUAACGAUAAAAAAAUCAAAUUUUUUUGAAUGAAAAAUCACUCCCUAACAGGGCCCUAAGCACCCGUUGUAGUGCAUGUUAUUACUAAAUUGAUAGAGAUGUUUUCACCCGUACUAACAAGUUCAAGUGGCCAUCUUUUUAUGACAAAUAUAAAUUCUUAUAGAAGAUAAUAAUAUAAAAUAAAUUUAUUAUUUGUCCAACAAUUAGACGUGCAGACGCUCAAGGCUUCAAAAUCCAUUUACAAAAUUGAAUGUGAUAGUAUUGAAAAGUGUGAAAAUACAAAUAUAAAGAAAUUAUCAUUAUUUGAUUGUAAUUGAUUGAUUAAGGGGGAAAUUCUUUUAAUGAAAGUGAUUUGAAAGUAAAUUAGUAAUUAGGGAAGUAAAGAGGUUCAUGGAGUCGCUCAACCUAAUAAAAUAGAAAAAAAUUGCUUCGGGGUCCUUAUCAUUUGAGUUCUCAACGAUUACUUGACAUUUAUGGUUGGAAACUUUUAAGUUUGGAAUACCCUAGAUCAUAAUAGAUGGCUUCUGUUGAUCUUGCAGUGAAAAACACAUGACUCUAACUUUUUGAAGUUAAUAUUGGCAAAUCAUUGAUUUUAAUUAUAAAAAAAGAAAGAAAAAAAGGUUGUAUACUUCGGCUUCUAAUAGAAAUAUGGAUAAAAAAUUAAAAAAUUCAUUGACCACCCAAAUCAUGUGCCUCUUGAAUCAGUGAAUAACUGAAUCCUAGGACCUUCUUCAACAUCUGAAUGUGAUAAGUCGUCGUCGUGUGCCAAAUGAGUUAUUACAACCUUAAGAAGUUUUUUGAAAUAAAGUAUUCCAACUGUUACGCCCCCAUCUGAAACACUUCGGAAAGUUUACCACCGCGUCUUACAAGGUGUGCAACACCCAUCCGAAGUGGUUCCGAAGUGGGGAUCAUCAUCUGCUAACACACUGCAAGACACAGACAAUCUACUGAACUGGUCGAGCCUCCCUCGCCCCUGAAAUCGAAGUUCUCUGCUAAAGGAUCUGCUGCCAAUUUGAGAAAGAGAUCUAAGUCAAGAUCAUUUUUGCCCCCAAGAUUCAAUUGAUUUGACGUCUCUAUGAGCCUAGUCGAUGUGACGUAUCAACUUUAUGUCAACUCAACUUGGGAGAAGUAAUUACCCGCCCACUCUAUAGACGCGGCCGAUUGACGCCUAUGAGCAGACGUCUCACACCGUCAUAUGCGUACACGUGUCCCACAUCCAACGGUUCUUAUCAUCUAUAAAUACCCAGGGUUUAACAAGAGGUAAAGGUAAUGAAACUCUUACAACAUAACUUUCCAUAACAAGCAAAUACAUAUUCUCUUCCCCUCUACUUUGCACAACCUUGGUAUUGUUCCGACCACCUGAGACUAACUUAACCGUCGGAGUGUAUACGGUCGCCACCACCCCCGUUGGUUCUAGCCGUGUGCAUCUGACCGUGCGUUGACUGUGCGCCGGGAGGAAUACGUGGAUUAGCUAUCGGUUGGCCAUGUAGAGGGUCCAAUUUGCGAGGUCAACAUAUUGGCAUCAUCUGUGGGAAACUUUCCAUUCAAAGUUCUGCAUUUUCCACCGGAGAAACCACCCAAAAACCAGUGACUUACCCUGAAAAGGGCACGUUCUUGAAGAAGAACAAAUUCGAGUUAUAAUCCAAAUUCUUAUCACCCUUGAAAAAGGACAUAAGAUGAGUUACAGCCAUGAAGACGAAAAUCCUAUGAGAGAGGCCUCUGAAGAAGAUGUGCUCUGUAACAAUGUCACUCACCAGAGACCCCAUCACCACCGUCACCGAGGUGAAAGGACAGCCAUGCUCACUGAAGGAAUGGCUCAAAUAGCUGCAGGCAUGAGAGACAUCGCAGCCCAGAAUACGGCAAUACAUGAACUUCUCAUGCAAGCCCGAGGUCACCAGGGCUCUCAAAUGCCCCAAGGAUCUUAUCCAAUUCAGGAAACCCCAGCAUCUUGUUCUCAAGGCCAUGUGAGCCAGCACAGAGAGCGCCCCCUCGAAAGAGAAGUGGGUGCUGAAGCCACAUCCUGUUUGCAAGGGAGCCACCACAAUUGGGGGAUAAUUUCCCUCAAGAAUAUGAAGCACAAAAGUCAGUCAGCAUCUUCGAUCGAAUAGGGCAGGACCCUAGUAAUAGGGUCCACUCAGUAUGAAGAUCAGUUCGGCAAGAACAGGAGCAAGAUCAAGCACCUCCUCCUCUUAGAAAUGGGAAGGAGAGAAGGAACUUAGUUGAUUGGGGGAGUCGAGGAGAAGCACCUCCACCUCCCCAGAACAUUCAAGAUGAUGAAGGGUUAGAUAAACCUUAUCGAUCCUUUGAAAUUGACGAUGAUGAUGAUAACCUUCCUUUCUCAAAGAAAAUUCGAAGUUUUCCAAUGCAUGCGAAUUUCAUGCCCCCUAAGAUCCCUAAGUAUAAAGGAAAGGGGGACCCGGAGAAGCACCCCACCAAGUACAUGACACAGAUGAGCCUAAGGAGAGCCUCGCCUUCUUUGAAGUGCCGAGCCUUCUACUUAACCUUGAGCGGAGCUGCUGACGUGUGGUACAACAGACUUUCUCCCCUGAGCAUUAGGAGUUGGCCGGAUUUAAAGAAUGCGUUCUUGAACCAAUACCUCUCACGCAGAGAAGGAGAGGCCCUAGUGCAAUGCCUGCAAGAUAUGAAGCAGGCCCCUAGAGAGACGCUAAGAAGCUAUCUCGCUAGGUUUACCGACGAAAUCACGUAUUACGAGCAGGUCACUGAUAGAGAAGCCUUUUCAGCCUUUAAAGGCAGCUUCAACAUGAACACUUUGUUCUGGAGGGAUGUGCGCAACAAAAAUCCCACCACUUAUGACGAGCUGGAAGAAAUGAUGAGAGUUGAGAUCGUCAGCGGAGAGAUCAUUGAUCACAGAAAUCGUGUAGCGCAGGGACUCCCUUCGCCUCAGAGGCACGUAGGUCGAGGAUCGCAGCACACCUUAUCACUCAGCAAUGGACUCAAGCAGGUCAUACAAUAGCUCCCACCUCCGGACAGGCACUGGCUUCAGCCACGCUAAAUGCAGUCCCGGUGUUGGCAUACGAGAAUUUCCCUGGCAAAACAGGGCCAUCUGGAGGAACCGAUAAUAGUAAGAAGAAGAAAAAGAAGCGAUCAAACAGGCCCUUGGAAGGAGCAAUUUUUUGCACUUUCUACCAACUCUAUGGGCAUGACACCAGCGAGUGUAGAGAUGCUAAUCGACUCCCGGAUCAAAGUAACCCACAUCCCUCUAGGAGGAACGAAUAUCCUCGCAGAUCCGCCUCCCCGAACAGGGGAGAGAGAAGGCAUAGAGAAUAGUCACCCUAGAGAAGAGAAUCAAGAGAUCGAGGACAGUCCAGACAGAGAGAUCAGGCCCCAUUUUCUGGGAGCCAAGUCAUCAGGAAGAUCGACACGAUCAUUGGGGAACCUCACAUCGGUGGCAACACCAGGAACGUCCAAAGGAAUUACACAAGGGAAGCAAAGGACCCGCCAAUACUUACCUACAUUAUAAAUGAGUCCCAAGUGGCCAAUAGGAUGGCCCCAAUCACCUUCUUCCAGGAAGAUGUAGAAGGAGUUCACCACCCCCAUUGUGACGCAUUGGUUGUGAGAGCCGUAGUGGCAAGAAAUGGGCUCAAACGCAUGCUUGUCGACAAUGGCAGUUCGGUGAAUAUACUAUUCGGCUCUACCUUCGACAGAAUGCAAAUUGAACAUGGGUUGAUCCCCAUGACCGAUCCACUGUUCAGAUUUACUGGAGACAGCAUCGUCCUACAAGGGCGGAUAACUCUGCUCGUUGAGAUGGAUUCAGCUCCUCUAGUGGCCCAACAGUUCAUUGAAUUCUUGGUGGUCGACCAUAGAUCGGCCUACCAUGGAGUAUUGGGAAGACCGGCCUUAAAAGAUCUUUGGGCUGUCACCUUCAUUCAUUACUUGAGUAUGAAAUUCCCGACUAAACAUGGGAUUGCCACGGUACGAGGCGACCAGAUGGGCUGCAGGGCUUGUUACUUAAACUCUUUACGAAAAUCGGAGCCCCGAACUGUUAAUGUGAUCAUAACUGAAGUUGCCAGCGAACCCAAUUUGGACGUGAAAAUGAUCGACGCCCCUGAACAAGGGCAUACUUCCGAACAGGGGGAAGACGUCGACAUGGAAGAAGCCCCUGAGAAAGGGCACCCUCUUGAUGAAUUAGAUCCUCGGAUCAUCGACUCCGAGCCAAAUACAACCCCAGUGGAAGAACUUGAGACUUUCAUCGCCAACCCAGAGGACCCCAAUCAGGUCCUGCGAAUAGAAAAUGCACUGUCCCCCGAAGCACAAGAAGAAAUGGUGAGCUUCCUGAAAAGGAACUUGGAUGUCUUCGUUUGAAAGCAUGAAGACAUGGUGGGAAUAGAUCCAAGGAUCAGUUACCAUCAUCUUAACAUCAACUCCACCUGUGCCCCCCACAGAGGCAGAAAAUACGUGCCCUCAACCCGGAGCGGUAUGAGGCACUCAAAGACGAAGUAGACAAAUUUAGCUACAGCGGUUUCAUCAGAGAAGCUAUCUACCCAAAGUGGAUAUCCACCCCGAUCCUGGUAAAAAAGCCCAGCGAAAAGUGGAGGGUAUGCGUAGACUUCACAAACUUAAAUAAGGCAUGCCCCAAAGACAGCUUCCCAUUUCCAAGGAUAGACCAACUUGUGGAUUCCACCGCCGGACAUGAACUCUUGAGCUUCAUGGAUGUAUACUCAGAGUAUAACCAGAUACCCAUGUUCCGACCCGAUGAGGAGGCUACGUCAUUCAUCACAGAUAGGGGACUGUACUGCUAUAAAGUCAUGCCCUUCGAAUUGAAAAAUGUUGGAGCAACAUAUCAGAGGCUGGUAAACAUAAUGUUUGCCGAACUCAUUGACAAAACCAUGGAGGUCUACAUGGAUGACAUGCUAGUCAAAAGCCUUCAGGCCAACGAACACGUAAGUCACCUCGACCAAACCUUUUAGAUACUUAGAAAAUAUAAAAUGAAGUUGAACCCCCUCAAGUGCACCUUUGGAGUGGCUUCGGGUCAGUUCUUGGGAUACAUUGUAAACUAAAGAGGGAUCGAAGUAAACCCAGUAAAGAUAAUGGCCUUGCUUGAAAUGAGGUCACCUCAGAAACAAAAGGAGGUCCAAAGCCUCAAUGGUCGGAUAGCAGCACUGAAUCGUUUCAUCUCCAGAGCCACAGAUAAGAGCUUACCCUUUUUCAAUGUGCUAAAGUAAGGAAAGAAGUUUCAAUGGACUUUUGAGUGCAAAGAAGCCUUCCAAGCACUGAAGAAACACUUAGGAGAGGCACCUCUGUUGUCAAAACCUCAACUGGAAGAGCCACCACUAAUGUACUUGGCAGUUUCGGACGAGGUGAUCAGCGCUGUCGUAGUCAGAGAAGAAAAUGGGCACCAGUUACUGGUAUACUGAGCACUCCUCCCAGCUGAAACAUGCUACCCAGACAUGGAAAAAUUGGCACUCGCUUUUAUUACAGCCUCAAGAAAACUGAGACCAUACUUCCAGGCCCACUCAAUUGAAGUUCUCACCAACUUCUCAUUAAAGCAAGUGCUGCAAAGAACGGACGCAUCAGGACGCCUGCUAAAAUAGGCAAUCGAGCCUAAUGAGUUCGACAUACUGUUCCGACCUCGACAUGCCAUCAAGGGCCAGGCCAUUGCAGAUUUUGUGGCUGAGUUUGCCAAAGUCCAAGAAAUGGAGGCAACAAUGGAACCAGCUGAGCCCCCAAAGUGGAAACUGUUCGUUGAUGGAUCCUCAGGAGAGGCCGGCUCCGGGGCAAGGAUCGUCUUGAAAAGCCCCGAAGGCCACAAGCUAAAUUACGCAGUAAGGUUCGGCUUCAAAGCAUCGAACAACGUUGUCGAAUAUGAGGCCCUUCGGCAGGCCUUAGACUGGCAAGGGAAAUGUAGGCCAGAAGGCUUCCAGCAAGUAGCGAUUCUCAGCUGGUAGUGAGUCAGGUCAAUGGAAACUUCGCAGCUAAAGACAGUAGCAUGGUUGCAUACUUGAAAUUGGUUCUGGACCUAGUUCCCCAUUUUGAAAGGUUCGAGCCAAUUCAAGUCCCACGCCUAGAGAAUAGUCAUGCAAUUGCCCUGUCAAAACUGGCUAGCAGUAAGGAUUCAGAGCUACUAAAGAUUGUACCUAUUGAGCACUUAUCAAAGCCCUCUAUUUCCAGAGGUGAGGAGGUGCUAUGGAUAGAAGGCACCCCGGUAUGGAUGCAGCCCAUCAUCGCCUACCUUAAGGACCAAUCACUACCAGCUUCCAGAAGCGAGGCGAAGAAAUUAAAAAUGAGGGCUGCACACUUCGUCCUACAAGAUGUCCUUUACAAAAGAGGCAUCACCUCGCCACUUCUUCGAUGUGUAGGAGGCGAAGAAGCUAUGUAUAUACUCAGGAAAAUUCACGAGGGAAUUUGCGGGAAUCACUCCGGAGGAACGGCUCUGGUACACAAAGUGCUUCGACAAGGCUACUUUUGGCCGACCCUGAGAAGGGAUGCUUGCGAGUUUGUCCAGAAAUGUGAUAGGUGCCAACGGUUUUCAAAUAUUCAAAGGCAGCAUUCUCAGAGUCUCUCCGUAGUGACCAGCCAUUGGCCGUUCGCCAAAUGGGGCAUCGACUUCAUUGGCCCACUCCUAAAAGGAAGAGGAAGCGCGACUUUUGCCAUUGUCGCCAUCGACUAUUUCACCAAGUCGGUCCAAGCUGAACCUCUUGCCAAGAUUAACGAGGCAAAUAUAUAAAAUUCAUCUAGAAGAGCAUCAUUUGCAGAUUCAGCAUUUUCCGCUCCUUAGUAUCUAACAAUGGGAAACAGUUUGACAACAAGAAAAUGCGAAGCUAAUGUGACGAACUGGGCAUAAAGAAGGAUUUCUUAACGCCUCAUCACCCACAAGCAAAUGGGUAAGUUGAUGCUCUAAACAAAACAAUUAAGCAUACCCUGAAAAGGAAGCUUGACACCUCAAAAGGGGCUUGGGUUGAUGAGCUUCCCCACGUCCUCUGAGCCAUCAGGACAACUACCUAAACUGCAAUAGGGGAGACACCCUUCUCCAUGACCUACGGAGCCGAGGUCAUGAGCCGGUUGAGGUAGGGGUCCCAUCGCACCGUCGAAUACACUUCAAUGAGAUCAGUAACAACGACGCUCGAAUGAGCGAGCUCCACCUCCUUGAAGAAAUGAGGGAUACCUCCCAGGCGAACUUGGCGAAGUAUCAUAGAAAGAUGACCUGAUAUUAUAACUCCAAGGUCAGAAAUCGGACUCUUCGUCCGGGGGACCUCGUCCUUAGAAGGGUCUUCCAAUCAUCAAAGCCAACCGGGUUCUGAGUGUUGGGACCGAAUUGGGAGGGUCCUUACCGCAUACGUAGGGAAUCCUGACCUGGUACUUUUGAAAUUGAAGACAUGACAAGGAAAGUACUCCCUCAUCAAUGGAACAUCGAACAUUUGAGGAAGUACUAUCAAUAAUGAGUUUGUGUUCUGAUCCGAUCUUAAUGAUGUCUAGUAAACGUGUGUCAUGAUUCGAUCUCAUUUGUAACUUUCCUAUCUUACUAAGUGUUGAAAAUGCCUUAGUGAAGAGUGAUGUAGUUCCUUUUAAAUAAUGAUACUUCAGUCGCUUGUCACAUCGGCUAGUAAAUUGUUACUUCAGUUCGUCAAUAUGUCAAUUGAUCCGAUCUUCUGUUAUUAAUUGGUUAUUGGUAACGAGCGCUUAAGUGGUUAUCACACAUAAGUGUAAACAGCACAAUAAAAAAAUCAAAGCAAUAAUACUUGUACAAAAAUUUUUGUUUUCAUUCAUUUGGGAAUUGAAUUACAAGAGGCUGAAGCCAUUACAGAAAUUGAUCAACCCUACUCUACUGGGGCAUUUGCUGUCCCGACGUCCUCUGCCCUUGUCCCAGGGGCCUCUGGAGCGUCCUCAGCGAGCCUAUCAGGUCGACCUCCGGUAGGCCCACCAAACUCUGCCUCUAGCGAAGAUAUGUCCAAAGUAGGAUGAACCUCUUUCAGCCGACCCAAUAUCCCCUGGGCGCUCCAGGAAGCCUAGAAGUUAGCAACGUAGGCAUACAGGGGGUGCUCUUCAAAGUGGUCAAUAAAGUUCUGUUUAGCCACCUCCCCUACUGACUUCAGCUUCUCCUUCAAAGAGGCGAUUUCUUCAGCAUCGGUAUCCGCCCUCUGCCUCAGCUCUACCUUUUCUUUAUUGGAGGCCUCCAGAGCCCCUAUGGUGAGCCGGUGGUGCUCAUUUGCAUGAUCAACUCUUCGUGUCAUAGCAGCUACCUGGCACUCCACUUCAUAGAGCUCCUUCUUCAACCACUCUAUUUCCUCCUUUGCAACCCCCAGUCGGGCCUCAGCCUCCUUCCUUCCUUUCCCUUCCUCCUCGGCCUUGGCCCGGGCCUCUCUCACUGCAUCUCCAUAGUGCAUCGCCCCCUCAAGGCGCUUGGCGAGGUCCUCCCUCUUAGCGUUGAGGUCUUUUACCAAGCCCUCGAGUUGGAUGCUUGUGCUUAAGGCCCGGGCCAUAUAAGCACUGUUGGCCGCGACCAAAUCCUCGGCAGUGCAGGAGCCGGUGUGGUCUCUCCAUUCCUCGGUCCAAUACUUAUUGUAGACCACCACCACCGCUACUGUCUCUAGAGAAAGAGCCUCCAGCACUUCCUUCACUGGCUCCUCGGAAUUGACGCUCAAGAAGUCCACAUCUUUCGAGGGUCGGGCCCUUUUCCUCUUUUGCUGUCCCGGCGCUUGAGCAAUGGGCACAACCACGAUUGGCGAUGUGGCCGGGGUUGGAGAAGCCUCGGAAGACGUAGGUCUCUUCUCGGGGAUAACCACCUCGGUUGGAAUUGUCGUCUGCCUCAAAGCUGGGGACGGCCUCGCUACAGUUGGGCGCUUUGAGGGGGUGGCAGGCCUCUUCCCUUUCCACAGCAAAUUGGUGUCCGGGUGCUCCGCAACCUUCUCUUGAGUGGGAGGCUGGAGCCUCUUGUUGGCCUCCACCAGAUCCUCCAUCUGCUUUUUGUAUACAGACGAGGAGGUUUUCAAGGCUCUCGCCUUGGCCAUCAUCCUUUGGAUGGUUUUGAAGUCUGGCCUCAGAGGCAGCUUCUUAUUAAAGUUAUCUACAAAGAGACAGGCAAAUUAGUAUAAGUGUAAAUAGUUCGGAAAGUACUGAACGAAUUCGCUUCGGGACAUACCAUCAAAUCGUGCGUCACGAAGUGGACGUUUUUCCUUAUCAGCUGGUGGUAUGACCUCUUCUUCGAAGGCAGCUGAUAAAUAAUGCAGAUGAUGUUGAAGUCAUCGGUGGAAAGCUCGUACCGAGGAAGAGAACCUUCAAAAAACAAACAGAACAGUUAAUAACCGAACCGAAGAAGGAUAAACAAGAUGCACAAAGCCACAUAACUCACUAAGUGUUGAAUAUUUUAUGGGGAUCAUAAGAGGCGCCAAGGGGUCCCCCUCCAUCGUGUCCCAUCUCUCGGCAGCCUAGCACCACGAGCUCUUCCACCCCUUGAUGGAGCUCGACAGAUCAAGCACGAAUGGAGUGUGGGAACCCCAUGAGGUCAAGUAGUACCAGUCCCUAGUCUUAUCCCCCCCCCCAGUCGCUACCUUAGGGAUGUAGAUAGUCUGGAAUACAGAAAAAGGCAUAUCCACCCCAAGCGACGCCUCUUUCCACAACAUCCAGGAGCCCACCAUUUGACUCCAGAAGUUCGGGUUCAAUUGGGUAGGAGCUAAGCCGUAUGACCUAAGUACCAUAAGAAAGAAAGGGUGGAUUGGUAGCCUAAGGCCAGCACUAAGGAUCGUCUCGCUUAUUGCCACGCACCCCGGCCUAGGGUAGCAGGCCUGCUCAUCAGGUUCUGGUAGGAUCAGAUCUACAUCAUCUGGGAUCCUAUAUUCAGCCCUAAGUCUCUCCAGGUCGGCACCCUCUAGCUUAGAGGGGUAAUCUGACGCCCCUUAAUGCACAGAUGUGUCGGUCGGGCUAUCAGGCCUCUUCCAUAGGUUCUCCCCCCAAUAAUUGGCUCAUCUAUCUCAGAGGAGGUCGCCAAAAUGGGCUCAUCCAUCCUCACUAGUUCCAACCCCCUAUCCGAACUACCACUAUCCUCAGAAGCCAUUUUCAGAAAGGAAAACUUUUAAAUACUUACUGAAACUUUCGAAAUGGAAUGUCCCGCAACCAAAAACGGUCAAGAAACAACGUGAGUCACCGAAAACUGGGAAACAAUAUGAGUAGCCGAAAAUUGGGAUUUCUCUCCAGAAGUUGCUUGAAGAACGCCGAAAUGCAAUGAUUUCGAGAGAAAAUGGGGUUUUUGAUUUCGUCAAAGUGAAAAGGUCCAAAAUCCCUCAAUUCUGCCUUUUAUAGAGCGUCCCAGCUGAUCUACACUGUUGAAUUCAAAUGCAAUCAAUCUAGGCCGUCCGUCGCAUCGUCAAUCUAGGCCAUUGAAAUGAAACACCGGAUUUCAUAUAUACCUAAGAUCUAGCUGUAACCUUCACGCUUUUACGAAACGCGUUGCCUCGAUCACCAUCAGCCGUCUGCAAUAAGUAGCCGCAGCAGCCUUUUCUGGGAAUGGGCAUCGUGCCCAACUAUCACCUUGGAAAAACGGGACAACUGUCUAAUCAUUUAAAGUCAGAGAUGCCCGUCUCAGAUCAAGCUCUUCACACAGCUUUACAAAGUUUAGACGCAUCUGAUGUAGAGCCCUCAUGUGGGUCAUCACCUCGGAAGCUGUGUUCUCUCCUAAACUUUACAAAGCUUUAACCAUCUCCCAACACGUUGUCCCCUGUGGGUCAACGCACCGGUGGCAGAUGAGCUCUUUACAUAGCUUUACAAAGCUUAGACGCAUCUGAUGCGGAGCCCCUCUUGUGGAUCAUCGUUUCGGAAUCUGUGUUCCCUCCUAAGCUUUAGCCAUCUCCCCACGCAUCGUUCCCUGUAGGUUAACGCACCGAUGGCAGAUGAGCUCUUCACACAGCUUUACAAAACUUAGACGUAUCUGACUUGGAGCCCCCUGUGGGUCAUCGCCUCAAAAGUUGCGUUUCCUCCUAAGCUUUACAAAGCUUUAGCCAUUUCCCAACGCGUCGUCCCCUAUGGGUCAACGCGCCGGUGGCAGAUGAGCUCUUCACACAGCUUUACAAAGCUUAGACACAUCUGAUGCGGAGCCCCCCUGUGGGUCAUCGCCUCGAAAGCAACGUUACAAAUCUUUAUCCAUCUCCUAACGCAUCGUCCAGUUGGCAGCACAUCGGCCUCGGAUAAGUUCUUCCCUUACACAGUAAUGAGUCUUUAGCGCAUCUGCCUGUGGUCAACGCUUCGAUGAACACAGAAAAUCGACCCAUAAGCCCUCACAAAUCGCGGUCCCCAUCCCAAGGCGGACAUACUCGAUCGGAAAAACAAGUCCACCCGUGAUAUAAAUAUUCAUACCUGAACUUGGACGGACCACUGUUACGCCCCCAUCUGAAACACUUCGAAAAGUCUACCACCGCAUCUUAUGAGGUGUGCAACACCCAUCCGAAGUGGAACUACCAUCUGCUAACCCACUGCAAGACACAGACAAUCUACUGAACUGGUCGAGGCGCCCUCGCCCCUGAAGCCGAAGUUCUCUGCUAGAGGAUCCGCGCCAAUUUCAGAAAGAGAUCUAAGUUAAGAUCCUUUUUGCCCCCAAGAUUCAAUUGAUUUGACGUCUCCAUGAGCCUAGUUGAUAUGGCGUAUCAACUUUAUGUCAACUCAAUUCGGGAGAAAUAAUUAUCCGUCCACUCCAUAGACGCGGCUGAUUGACGCCUAUGAGCAGACGUGUCACACCGUCAGAUGCGUACACAUGUCCCACAUCCAACGGUUCUUCUCAUUUAUAAAUACCCAGGGUUUGAAAGAGGUAAAGGUAAUGAAACUCUUACAACAUAACUUUCCACAACAAGCAAAUACAUAUUCUCCUUCCCUCUACUUUGCACAACCUUAGUAUUGAUCUGACCACCUGAAACUUACUUGACCGUUGGAGUGUAUGUGAUCGCCACCACCCCCGUUGGUUCUAGCCGUGUGCAUCUGACCGUGCAUUGACUGUACGCAAAGAGGAAUACGUGGAAUAGUUAUCGGUUGGUCACGUGAAAGGUCCAAUUUGCGAGGUUAACACCUACAUCUCCAAAAAGAAUAUUCAGAUGCUACCAACCAUAAUUUGAAAGAAUUUUUUUAGUAAAACAAUCCAAGUAUAUUGGGAUUCCACAUGGAGAAUAUGCUUUUAAUAUGAAGAAUUUGGCUCAAACUGAGGUCCUUGGAAAGGGAAUUGAAGAGCAAUUUGUAUUUUGUCACCGAGAAAAUAUCUAUUAAUGCCGUUUUGUCUAUACUCUCUCUAUCUUAAAUGGGAAAUUAAUUUUUUGCACAUGUUUAUUUCUUUUAGUAUGAGACAUUGCAUGUAUUGGCCUUUUACACUUUAGUUAAAAUGUAGACAGAUUGAGUGGUCCAUAUGGAAACGCUAAAGAAUUUUCCAAGAUGACGCUAGGCUGGCCUUGGAGAGCGCUUGACAUCAUUGUUAUAUUUCUCCGUAAAGAAACAAACUUUAAAAGUUAAUUAUGUUGACUGUUCAAAACUCUCUAUGCGAGAAAGACGAUUGGUUAAAGUAAUACGGGUAAAUGCAUCUUGUAUUAGUGAUGAAUUUAUUUGCACUUACAUACAGUGGCGGAUCUAGGAUUUUGAAUCAAUGCGGGUGACUGUUGACCCAAUAAAAUAUUACGAGCUCGUUUGAUGUAAUUUGAUGGAAGAUAUGUGGUUAAAAAUAAGGAAAAGUUUUGAAUUUCAUGUAAUAUUAUUUUAUAGAAAAAUAUAUGGUUGAAAAUAUAAGAGAGAAAAAUAUAUUCUGAAAUAAAUUGGAAUCAAACAAGACCUAAAAUUUAAACAUAACAAUUAUUUUGUUGAAAUUGAACAUAUAUAAUUUUGUUAAAAGAAUAAAUCAUACUCAUCAAAUGACAUUGUUGCCAAGUUUUAUAUAAUUCAAAAGAAGAGCACAUGUUCAAAUCUUUGUUUCAUUAAAACAAGCUAAGAUCUAAUAUAUUAAAUUUGUUAAAUAUAUUAUCACAAUUCGACAAGUGGUAUAAUGGUCAAACUACUAAUAAUUUUACAAUGGCUCCAGGUUCUAAUACCCUCCUCCCCAUUCCAUUAAUUUUAAAUUGUAAAACUAAAAAAAUUGAACAAUAAAAGUUGAUUGAUAAAGGAUCGAACCUGGGACUUGCAAGAUGUAUAAGCCAACACUAACCAACUUGGCCAAAAGGAACGUUUGAAUGCAAAAUGAUUAUCAGAAAUAUAACCUAAAAAAUUCAUCUAUUUUCAACCAAAAAUAAUGGCUACCGGCAGAUUGAGCACGUGCGGCCCCAGGUGCUUGCGAAGUGCUGGAUCCUCUAGUGCUUGCAUAUAUAGUAUUGUACUUGGGAACAUUCAAUUUAAUAAUUUUGAAGAAUUGAAUAUUCCAAUAAUAAUAAUAUAAAGAUUGUUAACUUUCAAAGUGUUUAGAAAUUGAUUAUAUUCGCUUGUUGAAUUGAUAAAAAAAAAAAUAGGAAUAAUGUUAUUUAUCAUUAUCAUGAUAGAACAUUGGUGAUGUGACAGUUUACGUGAAAUAAUGAGAUUUGACAGAUCAAUUUUAUGAUAGAAGGGAGGAGAUAUGGUCUCAAAACAGAAAGAAAUGUGAGGAAUAAUGAGUUGUCACAUCACUGAUGUUCCAUUGUCAUGAUGAUAAAUGGCAUCACUUCAAAAAUAGCAAGAACUCCAACCCGAUUUCAAGAUUAUCGAGGAAACUUAUUCACCAUUCUUUUGAGUGCUUCAUGUUUGGCUAAGCCUCGUAAGUUUAUUUAUAAGUAAAUAAUAAUUCUCCAUUUUAUUAAUGAAUAUUUGACAUAUAUAAAUUCAAUGUUUUCAAAACUCGACUAGCUCAACUUGAAAAUUUGGUUACCAGACUGAAGUCCGAUUCAAUUCUAGUGCAAAAACUGAAGGUUAAGAAAUCGGUGUAAAAGCCAGAAACCGUUUGGUUCAACAUAAAAACCAAUGAGCUAAACUCUAUUUUUAAUGGUUCACUGAUAUUUCGUACCCCAAAAAAUAAAAAUAAAAAUAAAUUUAAAAUGAAGAAAAGGAAGAAGUUUCCUUCAUUACUGCUUCUGAACUAGAGCUCCAAUAUCCAUUGUGAAAUCUUUCAAAUCCAAAACAAUCUUAUACAAAUACAUAUAUUUUACGUUUUUAUAUACAAAUCAAAAAUAAUAUUUAUGUUGUUACAUAUAAAUACAUAUAUUUGUAGGAGAAGAGAAGACUGAGAAAGAAGAUGGAAAGAUGGCGGAAUAUGAUGUUGAACUUUUGCCUCUGUAGAGAGUGUGUGUGUGUGUGUGUGUGUAUAUAUAAGAUUUAUAGAAAAUUAAAGAGAGUAUUGAGUAGGAUUAAAGUUAUUAAAAGUUUAAAGUUUAAAUAGCCAUUUAAAACAGUAUACCCCCCCAAUUGGUAUCAGAGCCAAAAAAGAAAGUAGUGAUUGGGAUAGAAAAGGCUUAUAAUAUUAGAACUUACAGGUAUUAGAAAUAAUAGAUUGUCUUACCAAGUAAAAUAUAGUAUAGAUAUUUGUGGUUAUUUUGAGGAAGAUAAUAUAGUUGGAGCCUGGAGUAAAGAUUUAAUUGAAAUCUUAGAAAUAUUUAAAGUUCUUAAAUAUUUACCUUUUGAAUUAAGAGAAAAUAUAGUAAAAAGAGUCUUAGUAGAAGAAUACAGACAUAUUUUUAUAACAGAACAUAUUUAUUACGAUUUAGAACUCUGGAUAUCAAUAGAAAGCUUGAAUUCUUAGAUUUAGAAAUUUUAAGAAAUACUAGUAAAAAAGUACAAACAGUUGAUAAUAAUAUAAUUAAGUGUAAUUUAGAUAAUAAGCAUAAAUUACAUAGUUUAUUUUCAGAAGAUCCAAGUCAGAAUUGUAUUGUAGACUUGAUCAUAAAUUUAUCAAGAAAUUUAGAACUUGAAAAUAAAAAGCAAAAUAGUUAUCUAGAAAUUAUAAAAGAAAACAUUACAGUUAGAGACCAAGAGAUUAAAAAUAUAAAAGAAUCUUUAGAUUAUAUUAAAAAUCAAAAUUCAAGAAUUUUAGAAAAACUUGUUAAACUAGAAAAAAUACCAUCUAAGGUAGAUUUAACAGAAAUAAAAAGAAUUUUAGAUUCAAAUAAAUCUAAAGAGAUAGAUAGAGGAACUACAUCAAGUGUAGAAAAAGACCUAAAAUCAUUAACAAAUACUCUAGAAAAACUAAGUUUUAAAGAAAUAGAAAAAGAAAAGGUAACUAGGAAAUUACUUAAAGAAUACAAAUUUCCAAGAUGAAUACAAAUCCUUUUCUAGGAAGAUCUAGAACUAUAAAUGAAGAAGCAUCUACAUCUAGAAAUAGUACUUCAAGUAUAAGCAGAAAUAUAAUAGAAAGAGUUUUAAACAGACCAGUUCAAUAUAAUCAAAAUAUAGAAGAAAUCAUAGAUCCUCAACAAGAUUAUCAAAGAUUUCAGGCUAAUGGAUUAAGAAUUCUCAACCCAGAAAUACUAUAUAAUAGAGGAAUUUUUGAAACAAGAACACAAUUUUUUAGACAUAGUAGAGAAGUAUAUGUUCAGUGUAUAGGAAAUCAGGUAAGAAAAUUAAAUUUAAUAUCAGAAGACUCUAAGAGAGAAUUAAAAAAGAAAAACUUUAGAUUUAUGCAUUUAGGAUUAAUAGUUAUAGGUAUAAAAGGACUAAUGAGAAAAAAUUUAGGAUGUAAAGUGUUAGUUACUAUAUAUGAUGAAAGAAUUAAUAAUAUAGAUAAAAGUAUGAUUGCUAGUACAGAAGUAGAUAUGAACAAUAAUAAUGGUAUAAUUUAUUGCAAUCCAGAUUUCUUAUUAACUAUUAAAGAUUUUUCAGAUAAAAUUAAAAUAGGAAUACAAACAAAAGGAUAUGAAGAAGUAGAAAGUGGAGAUAUUUAUUAAUUAGCAUAGGAUUUUUAGGAAGAUGUUCGAAUAAUUCCCAAACAAAAUAUAAGAUAUAUAUAGACAAAGUAGUAAAUUUAAUGAGUAGUAAAUGAAUUAAUAUGGUUAAGUCUAAAGAAUAUUCAUCAGAACAAUUGGCAGGAUUAGAAUGGGAUAUGGAUAAAUUUUUAGAAAAUCAAGAAACAAUUAUAGCACCACAGGAAGCAUUAACUUAUAAAGAUAUUCAUGGAAGAACUAGUCUAAAAUUUUUAGAUUAUAAUCAAGUACAAAGACAGAAUGAUUUUGAAAAAGAAACCAAUCCUGAUGAAGAACAAAAUGAACCAUUUCAAAAUCAAGUUCAUAUAGAAUCAAUAGAUGAGGAAUUUGAUAGAAUAAUUUAUCCAAAAGAAUUAGGAAUGAAUUUAGAUAAUAAAGAACUAUCAGAAUUAGAUGACCAAAUGUAUCUUAAUAAGAUAAUUACAGAAUCUAAAUAUUUAUAUUAUGACCAAGAACAGAGUAUAAGAAUAGGAACCAUUAAAGAAGAUAAUGAUUCAGAUAAUUCAGAUUUUAGUUAUAUAAAAGAACUUAUGGAAGACUCAAAUACAUAUAGAACUUUUAGUGAUACUCCUUUUGAUAGAACAGUUAAACAUGAAACAAUGGUUUAUAGUGGAGGAUUUCCUCCAAGAGGAGCUUAUCCUUUAUAUAAUAAUACAGAAAGAAAAUAUAUAGCAAGAGGAAGUGAAAGACCCUUAGAAAAGAAAAUAGAAUUUCAAUCAGAUCAUAAAACACAAAUUUUAAAUAUUACAGCACAUGAUCCACAGACAUGGAAUAAUGUAAUAGAUGUAUGGAAGAACACUAUAAUAGGACAUUAUAUUAGAAACUUUCAAGAAAUGAAAUCUUUAGAUAUGUAUAGAUAUUUUGAAACAUUUUUAGGAGAAAGCGUAAAAGCAAUGUGGGAAGCAUUCAAAUUAGAAAAGAAACAAGAAUUUGAACAACUAGUUAGUAUGGAAAGUAAUCCUUAUAAUUUUGUUAAUAAAAUACAAAUCUUAAUAACAGGAGCAGAUCCAAAUUCAGGACAUAUGAGUAUACAAAGAAAAGCUAUGAGAGAUUUAGAACAACUUAGCUUUUAUAAAUGGACUAAAGAAAGAUAUGUUAAGAACUUUUUAAAUGAGUAUCAUUACUUAACUUCAAUAUCAGGAAAUACAUUUAAUCAAGAAAUAGGAAAUAAAUUAUUUCAUAAAUUAUCAGGACCAUUAGGAUUAGAAAUCACAGAUAAAUGGAAUAAUUUACCAGCAGUAAAAGAAGAACCAGAAAAACAAUGGAGUAUAGGACAAAGAAUACAACAUGUAAUAAGAUGUUUAGAAGAUAAAUGUGUAGAAUUACAAAUUCAAAAACAACUUAAAAAGACAUACUAUAAAUUUUGUAAAGACAUUUUCACCCCCACAAACUUAUGAAGCCUCUAGUUCAAGAAAAAAUAAGUAUAGUAAUAAAGAAAGAAAAAAUAAAAGAUCUUUUAAGAAAAGAUAUUUUCUUAGAAAAUCUAAUUAAAGAAAACCAUACUUAGAUGAAAAACGACGUGUUAGAAAAUUUAAACCAGAAAGAACUUAUAAAAAUAGACUUAGUUGUUACGUCUGUAAUAGUAAUGAACAUUUAUCCAAGACUUGUCCAAAAAGAAUAAAUAAUUACGAUAAAAAGAGUACAUUAAUAGAAUGCACUAAUGAAGAUUUAAUACAACUAGAUGAAUAUAUUUCAGAUAAAGAAUCUAUUUAUAGUAUUAUAUCAAUAGAAGACAGAGAUUUAGAAGAAAAUAAAGAAUCUGAUUAUGAAACAAUAGAUGAAUUCUCUAAUAUAAAAUUACAAGAAGAAUCAGAAUCAGAAGAAGAACUAAACUUAAUGAAUAGUAUAACUAUAGAAUGUCUACAUAAUUGGCAAAAAUAUAAAGGAGCAGAUAAUAUAGUUUGUUAUUUAUGUAAUUGGUACCCAGUUAGAAAAUUUAGAGCUAAAUGUUUAGAAUGUUAUAAAGAAGCAUGUAUAAAAUGUUUAGAAGAAAAAAAUCUUAUUGAAAAAGAAGAAGUUAAUUCAGAAAUCCUAAAAGAAAAAAUUGAAAUAUUAGAAAUAAAAAUUCUUAGGAAAAGAAUUGAAAGCCUAGAAGAAAUGCAAAAAUUUAUAAUAAAUAAGAUAGAAAUAUUAUAAUAUAACAAUAAAGGAAAAACAAUAGAAAUAGAAGAACAUAGUCAAGGUACAGAAUAUAAAGAAAAAGAAUAUGUUCAAGUAAUAUGUAACCCAGAAAAACUUAAAAGCAUUAAGGUAAAAUGUUAGAUAAAAAUAUGACAAUAUGAAAUAAAAUGUUUAGAAUUAAUAGACUCAGGAUGUAGUAAUUGUAUAAUUAAUAAAAAAUUAAUUCCAAAACAAUAUACAAUAUACUCAGACAAACCAAUAGAAGCACAACAAAUGGAUGGAGAACUCUAUACUUACACUGAAUUAUUACAAUCAAAUAGUAAGAUCAGUUUUGAGACAAACUGUGGUAGAAGUAUAGAAUAUACCUUACCAAAAGAAUCAGUUUGGGUUAAACCUUUAAAUAUUAAAGAUACAGAUUUUAUUAUAGGAUUAAGUUUUUUAUUAAAAGAUAAUGGAAGUGUUACAAUUACUAAAGACUUUUUACAUUUACAAAAACAUACCUUAUUUACACCAACACAGACUACCUAUUUCCCAUCAGAGUGCAUAGAGAAGCGUUGUGGAAAUAGAAAUAACUGUAAGUGUGAAAAAGAAAGAGAAUGUCAAUUAAUAGAAGAAGACAAUCUAAAAGAAAUAGAUUUUGAAAUUCUAAAAAAGGAUGAAUUGGAUAAUUUAGAAAACAUAGACUUUGGAACUAUAGAAUUAAUUGAUAAUGAAAAGAUUUAUAAUAUGUUAAUAACAGAACAAGAAAUAGAAAAUUUAAUAUCUAGAUUAGAAAAAAUAGAAAUUAUAGGAGAAAAUGUUUUAAAAUAUUGGGAAAAAGAUAAAAUCCUAUGUGAACUUAAAAGCAAAAAUUCAGAAUAUAUAAUUAAAACUAAAAAUAUUGAAGCUACAAACUUAGAUCUAGAAGAUUUUAAAAUACAUAUAAAAGAACUCUUAGAAUUAGGAGUUAUUAGAAAAUCAGAUAGUCCUCAUAGAUCAGCAGCUUUUAUAGUCAGAAAACAUUCAUAAAUUAUUAGAGGAAAGAGUAGAAUGGUAAUUAAUUAUAAAAGACUUAACGAUAAUACCAUAGAUGAUACUUAUAAUAUACCAGACAAGACAGUGUUAAUAAAUAAAAUACAAGAUUGUAAAAUUUUUAGUAAGUUUGAUUUAAAGUCAGGAUUUUGGCAAGUAAAAAUGCAUCCAGAAAGUAUUAAAUGGACAGCAUUUACCUGUCCAGAAGGACAUUUUGAAUGGCUUGUAAUGUCAUUUGGAAUUAAGAAUGCACCUAGUAUUUUUCAAAGAAAGAUGGAAAGUAUUUUUAAUAAACAUAGUAAAUUCGUAAUAGUAUACAUAGAUGAUAUUUUAGUAUUUAGUAAAAAUAAACAAGAAUAUAGAGGACAUUUACAAAUAGUAUUUUCAGAAUUUAUUAAACAUGGCUUAAUAAUUAGUAAAAAGAAAAUAAUUUUAUUCAAAGAAUUUAUAGAUUUCUUAGGAGUUAACAUAGGAGAAUGUAAAAUAAAGCUACAACCUCAUAUUGCUAAGAAAGCUUUAGAAUUUUCAGAUAAAUUAGAAGAUUUAAAACAAAUCCAAAAAUUUUUAGGAUUAGUAAAUUAUGCUAGACCAUUUAUAAAAGAUUUAGGAAAAAUAGCAGGACCUUUAUAUGCAAAAACAUCUCCUACAGGACAAAGAUUCUUUAACCAAGAAGAUAUAAAAUUAGUCCAACAAAUAAAAGAAAAAAUAAAAAAAUUGCCAGAAUUAGCUACGCCAUUAGAUUCAGAAUAUUUAAUUAUAGAGACAGAUGGAAGUAUGAUAGGAUGGGGAGCUAUAUUAAUAUGUAAACCCAAUAAAUAUACUGAUAAAAGUACAGAAAGAAUUUGUAGGUAUAACAGUGGAAACUAUAAAGAGAAAGGAAAUUUAAGUAGCAUAGAUGCAGAAUUAUUAGCUAUAAAUUAUGCAUUAGAUAGUUUUGAGUUAUUUAUUAUAUCUAAGAAAGAAAUAACUAUAAGAACAGACUGUGUAGCUAUAGUCUCAUUUGUUAAUAAAAUGAAAAUAGACUCAAAAAGAAGUAGUAGAAGAAGAUGGUUAAAUUUUAUUGAUAGAAUUACAAAUAUAGGAUUUAAUAUAGAAUUUGAGCAUAUUAAAGGUAGUGAUAAUAAAGCGACAGAUAUACUGAGUAGAAUAAUAAUAGAUAAAAAUUAUUAAACUUGUUUAACAUAAUUUUGUUAUAUAGAUGACAAGACCAAGGCUCUUAAGACCAGGAAUUCCACCAGGAAAUUCAUUUGCAUCAAGUUCCUUACCUCAGACUCCAUUUAAUCAGAACAGACCAAUGUUACAAGACAGGAUAAGGUUUGGAAACCAAGAACUUAUAGUUUUCCCAAAUAGUAAUAUUUCCUUUAAAAUUUUACCGCAUAUAUCUUUAUCUAGAGAAGAGAAAUGUAUUUUAGACAAUUUAUGGAUUUCUUAUAAUAAGAAUCCAAAAGAUCAGAAAUAUUUUCUUACAUGCAUGAAUGCAUUAUCAGAACAUUUUAGUCAGAACAAGCAAAGAUUUAAAUUUUAUAUUGUUGUUAAAGGUAAAAAUUCAGGAAUUUUUCAUUCUUGGAUAGAAGUUUUAGAUUGAAUUAAAAAUUUUCCAGAUCCUCUUUACAAAGGUUUUACAAAUUUUCAAGAAGUAUUAAAUGCAGCAAGACAACAUAUAGGAAUAAAUUUUUAUUUAUCUCCUUCCUUAAAGAACUAUUCUGAUCCUCCAUUAGACUUUUCUCCAAGCAAAGACCAGAAUAUUUUUUGCCAACAUUGUGAGUGUAUGCAGAGAAAUUACAAAGUUAUUAAUGAAGCCAACCAGAACCUCUCAUUAGAAAGAACCCAACUUCAAAAGAAAAUAGCCCAACUUGAAAAAGAGAUUUUGGAUCUAAAAGUUCAAUAUCAAAUAGGUACUAUGGAGCCCAAGAAGUCCAUAACUAGUCCGCCCAAACGGUAGCUGGUAAAGACUUAUCAAACCCGUUAAAGGUUGUGGACUUACCAAAAGCCCAACAGACUCAGGGGACUGUUGAUUCCUCUACUAAAAUAGAUAAUCAGACUCAGCAGACUGAUAAAUCUGCUACAGAAAAAGGUAAAGAGAUUUGGGAUCUUUUAGGACAGCCCAGCGGAAAAUUUGAUUAUUUAGUAAAGUAUAGUCCACCAGAACAUUUUUCAUCAGAACACUUUUCAAAUAAUCCAGACUUCUCACAAGCUCAAGAAAAUCAGCCCAGUAAGGGAAAAGAAAAAAUUGUGACCCAAGAUAGUCAAGACCCUCUAUUUAUUCAAGAAGCACAAGAUCCUAAUCAAGAUAUUGUCUCCUUAGAAAAGAUUUUUGAAAAAAUUGAAGAAUUUCAGAAACAAUCCAAAAAAGAUGAAGGAACUUCUUCCAGAAAAAAGAAAAAGAUUAAGAAGAAGAAAAAUGAUGAAGGACUGAAAGAACAAAUCAGAGAGGCAGUGAACCAAGCAUUUGAGACAAUUUUAAAAAAGAGCCAUGAAGAAGAAAAAGAAAUUGCAGAAUGUCCAGAACAAAAAGAAAAAGAUGAAGCCAGUUAUUCCAGACUUUCAGAUGAAGAAGAAGAUCCACAAGAAGAAGGAUACAAUAAUUCAGAUAGUGGAAUGUCAUUUUCAUCAGUGGCACGCCAUAAUCUCCGUACAUGAUCAAAUCUUCAAUAAUUCAGAAAAGACAAAUUUUGCCAGAAGAAAAGAAGAAAAAGGAAGAAGACCCAAAAAUCAAGAUUGAAGACUUUUGGGGAAAGAUGUAAUGAAUCCUUUGAAAAAAGAAAAGAUUCUCCGAGAAAGGAAAAAAAUUUCAAAAGUAGGAAAGAUUUUUAAGACUUCUAGAAAAAGUUGGUGAAGCUUGUAAUAUCUUAAUCAAUAUGAUUGUAUAAUUAGAUCAAUACUUUAUCCUAAUUACUAAUGUACUGUUGUUAGGUAAAUGGAAUGCAUAUGUGGC
Molecule: long non-coding RNA, 22531 nt
Filed under: Olea europaea (common olive)
Lineage: Eukaryota; Viridiplantae; Streptophyta; Magnoliopsida; Lamiales; Oleaceae
Description: long non-coding RNA (OEUR_LNC005328)
Source: RNAcentral